UGACUNGAGUGCAGAAGGGGAGAGUGGAAUUCCAUGUGUAGCGGUGAAAUGCGUAGAUAUAUGGAGGAACACCAGUGGCGAAAGCGGCUCUCUGGUCUGUCACUGACGCUGAGGCUCGAAAGCGUGGGUAGCGAACAGGAUUAGAUACCCUGGUAGUCCACGCCGUAAACGAUGAGUGCUAGGUGUUAGGCCCUUUCCGGGGCUUAGUGCCGGAGCUAACGCAAUAAGCACUCCGCCUGGGGAGUACGACCGCAAGGUUGAAACUCAAAGGAAUUGACGGGGGCCCGCACAAGCGGUGGAGCAUGUGGUUUAAUUCGAAGCAACGCGAAGAACCUUACCAGGUCUUGACAUCCCGAUGCUAUUCUUAGAGAUAGGAAGUUACUUCGGUACAUCGGAGACAGGUGGUGCAUGGUUGUCGUCAGCUCGUGUCGUGAGAUGUUGGGUUAAGUCCCGCAACGAGCGCAACCCUUAUUGUUAGUUGCCAUCAUUAAGUUGGGCACUCUAGCGAGACUGCCGGUAAUAAACCGGAGGAAGGUGGGGAUGACGUCAAAUCAUCAUGCCCCUUAUGACCUGGGCUACACACGUGCUACAAUGGUCGGUACAACGAGUUGCGAGCCGGUGACGGCAAGCUAAUCUCUGAAAGCCGAUCUCAGUUCGGAUUGGAGGCUGCAACUCGCCUCCAUGAAGUCGGAAUCGCUAGUAAUCGCGGAUCAGCACGCCGCGGUGAAUACGUUCCCGGGCCUUGUACACACCGCCCGUCACACCACGAGAGUUUGUAACACCCGAAGUCGGUGAGGUAACCUUUUAGGGGC
This 812-nucleotide ribosomal RNA is filed under the name uncultured bacterium. RNAcentral describes it as "bacterial SSU rRNA". It matches the Rfam family "Bacterial small subunit ribosomal RNA", at positions 638 to 1449 of the family's 1533-position model. The record is from RNAcentral.